RNAcentral lists this ribosomal RNA (625 nucleotides) under Escherichia coli. Its description in RNAcentral is "partial 23S ribosomal RNA". It matches the Rfam family "Bacterial large subunit ribosomal RNA", at positions 614 to 1239 of the family's 2925-position model. Lineage: Bacteria; Pseudomonadati; Pseudomonadota; Gammaproteobacteria; Enterobacterales; Enterobacteriaceae. The record is from RNAcentral.
AAUGGGUCAGCGACUUAUAUUCUGUAGCAAGGUUAACCGAAUAGGGGAGCCGAAGGGAAACCGAGUCUUAACUGGGCGUUAAGUUGCAGGGUAUAGACCCGAAACCCGGUGAUCUAGCCAUGGGCAGGUUGAAGGUUGGGUAACACUAACUGGAGGACCGAACCGACUAAUGUUGAAAAAUUAGCGGAUGACUUGUGGCUGGGGGUGAAAGGCCAAUCAAACCGGGAGAUAGCUGGUUCUCCCCGAAAGCUAUUUAGGUAGCGCCUCGUGAAUUCAUCUCCGGGGGUAGAGCACUGUUUCGGCAAGGGGGUCAUCCCGACUUACCAACCCGAUGCAAACUGCGAAUACCGGAGAAUGUUAUCACGGGAGACACACGGCGGGUGCUAACGUCCGUCGUGAAGAGGGAAACAACCCAGACCGCCAGCUAAGGUCCCAAAGUCAUGGUUAAGUGGGAAACGAUGUGGGAAGGCCCAGACAGCCAGGAUGUUGGCUUAGAAGCAGCCAUCAUUUAAAGAAAGCGUAAUAGCUCACUGGUCGAGUCGGCCUGCGCGGAAGAUGUAACGGGGCUAAACCAUGCACCGAAGCUGCGGCAGCGACGCUGAUGCGUUGUUGGGUAGGGGAGCGU